GAGACAAAGACAUAAUAACUCUUUUAUACACAGUGAAGCUGUCCCCUCCUAGGGUUUCUUCCAUGUGCUCCCCAGUGAACCUGGGAAAAGCUUAUAACCAUGUUUUUAACAAAUUUAAUUGAAUUAAAUUUCGUGACUGCUGCACGUGUUCGAUGAGGAAUUUAAAUAAAAGACAUUGUAAUUCCAAAGCAUGUCCUUCCACUCACACGACCAGUGAGUGUGUCUAUUUCACUAUUCAAAUGCUGUGUUCAAUGAAGGGGGUGACUGCAGUGGCGCAACAUCCAAGACGAGGGUUUUGGGAAAAUUAGGGUUUAGAAUGUUGUUGCUUCACGACGAAACUAAAGCUUUGAAGCUUCGGAGAGGGGUGUAUAGGAAGUGGGAAGGCCGUGCUGCUUUGCUCCGUUUACGGCCGGACAAAAAAGCAACCUGGGUGUGAGACAAAGUGGCUCUUUAGGGUGGGUGUGGGCUCUCCCCCUCUCUCUCCCGGCCACAAUUAUUGUGCUGUUAAAAAAGCGUCUGGUGUCUGCAAUUAUUGGAUCAUCCGGAGGGAGGGGGAGCUAAGAUAGAUAGAUACCUGGUGGAGAGGAAGAACAUCGCGAUGACCCCUCCGAAGUGGCCACCGAGGGAUUGGUGCGACUGUGUCCAACGUCCGACGCACGCUAAAUCGGAACUGUGUGAAGAAAUGCUGCUCUCCACAGCGAGG
This 703-nucleotide long non-coding RNA is filed under the name Physcomitrium patens. RNAcentral's name for it is "long non-coding RNA (PPAT_LNC009512)". Lineage: Eukaryota; Viridiplantae; Streptophyta; Bryopsida; Funariales; Funariaceae. The record is from RNAcentral.